AGUGAACGCUGGCGGUAGGCCUAACACAUGCAAGUCGAACGGCAGCACAGUAAGAGCUUGCUCUUACGGGUGGCGAGUGGCGGACGGGUGAGGAAUACAUCGGAAUCUACUUUUUCGGGGGGGAUAACGUAGGGAAACUUACGCUAAUACCGCAUACGACCUACGGGAGAAAGCAGGGGAUCUUCGGACCUUGCGCGAUUGAAUGAGCCGAUGUCGGAUUAGCUAGUUGGCGGGGUAAAGGCCCACCAAGGCGACGAUCCGUAGCUGGUCUGAGAGGAUGAUCAGCCACACUGGAACUGAGACACGGUCCAGACUCCUACGGGAGGCAGCAGUGGGGAAUAUUGGACAAUGGGCGCAAGCCUGAUCCAGCCACACCGCGUGGGUGAAGAAGGCCUUCGGGUUGUAAAGCCCUUUUGUUGGGAAAGAAAAGCAGCAGGUUAAUACCCCGCUGUUCUGACGGUACCCAAAGAAUAAGCACCGGCUAACUUCGUG
RNAcentral lists this ribosomal RNA (492 nucleotides) under uncultured bacterium. RNAcentral describes it as "partial 16S ribosomal RNA". It matches the Rfam family "Bacterial small subunit ribosomal RNA", at positions 29 to 507 of the family's 1533-position model. The record is from RNAcentral.